AUGCCUUAAACUUCUGAGUAAGAAAAAAUAACGAUUUGGGUGAUGCCUGAAUCCUCACUGCUAAUGUGAGAUGAGAUGAAUUUCUGAGUGGGUAAAGGUUGCCCCUAAGGUGACCUGCCUGUUUUGUGGGAUCCUUGGGAGUCAGGAUCUGCCUG
This is a small nuclear RNA of Panthera leo (lion), 155 nucleotides long. Its record names the gene U12. It matches the Rfam family "U12 minor spliceosomal RNA". Rfam says of the family: Although the U12 sequence is very divergent from that of U2, the two are functionally analogous. Lineage: Eukaryota; Metazoa; Chordata; Mammalia; Carnivora; Felidae. The record is from Ensembl.